Molecule: long non-coding RNA, 476 nt
Filed under: Setaria viridis
Lineage: Eukaryota; Viridiplantae; Streptophyta; Magnoliopsida; Poales; Poaceae
Description: long non-coding RNA (SVIR_LNC010180)
Source: RNAcentral
GUGUCCCUCGCCGUGCUUCUUCUCCUUCUUCUUCUUCUUGUCCUUCUUCUCCUUGUGGUCCUUGUGGUCCUUGUGCUCGCCGGACUUGUCGCCGUGCUCGCCGGUGAUCUUGUCCUUGAUCUUGUCGACGAUGCCCUCCUUGUGCUCCCCGUCCUUCUUGUGGUGCUCCUCGGCCUUCUUGUGCGCCUCCGCCUUCUUGUGCUCCUCCUCCUUCUUGUGGUCGCCCCCCAUGUGGAGGGUCUCCUCGAUCUUGUGGAUGAUGCCCGACAUGGCGAUGCUUCUCUUUUUUGCUCGAGAGGGAAGUGGCGAUGGAGAUGCGGUGCGGUGGUGUGAUCUGCCCUUGGCUCUCCGGCGCCGGUAUUUAUAGAGCGCCGAGGUGGUCCGUGACUUGCGGUGGGGUGUGUGAAGAAAUGGAAGGCCGAUCGGAUAAGAAGGACGUGAUGGCACUAAAUAAAGCAGAAAAAUGAAUUGAAGGC